Molecule: ribosomal RNA, 450 nt
Filed under: uncultured Glomeromycotina
Lineage: Eukaryota; Fungi; Glomeromycota
Description: SSU rRNA
Rfam family: Eukaryotic small subunit ribosomal RNA
Source: RNAcentral
AGCAGCCGCGGUAAUUCCAGCUCCAAUAGCGUAUAUUAAAGUUGUUGCAGUUAAAAAGCUCGUAGUUGAAUUUCGGGGCCAGUAGGUCGGUCGUGCCACUGGUAUGAACUGGUCUCACUGGUCCCUCCCUCUUGAAGAACCGUGAUGCCAUUAAUUUGGUGUUGCGGGGAAACAGGACUGUUACUUUGAAAAAAUUAGAGUGCUUAAAGCAGGCUUACGCUUGAAUACAUUAGCAUGGAAUAACGAAAUAGGACGAUCGAUUCUAUUUUGUUGGUUUCUAGGGUCGACGUAAUGAUUAAUAGGGAUAGUUGGGGGCAUUAGUAUUCAAUUGUCCGAGGUGAAAUUCUUGGAUUUAUUGAAGACUAACUACUGCGAAAGCAUUUGCCAGGGAUGUUUUCAUUAAUCAAGAACGAAAGUUAGGGGAUCGAAGACGAUCAGAUACCGUCGUAG